This is a long non-coding RNA of Trifolium pratense (red clover), 815 nucleotides long. RefSeq lists it as uncharacterized. NCBI's taxonomy places the organism in Eukaryota, Viridiplantae, Streptophyta, Magnoliopsida, Fabales, Fabaceae. The record is from RefSeq and is a predicted model, not a curated record. The transcript has 4 exons.
GGGCCACUUCUAGCUUCUUCCAUGUGCGGCAGUAAUGUUUAUUUUUAUACUCUGUCACAUAUUGUCUUAAUUUCUUUGUGUGACUCUCAUCACAAGUCAAGAAGAAGAAGAAGAAGAAGAUGGUGGAAUGAAUCAAAGAAGAGCGAGAGCGUACACAUUCAGCCAGCGAUCGUCACCUAUGCAUCAUCCAUGUUAUCUCUCCUCACACUCUGUCCUCCUUUCGUAAUUCUUUCUACUGUAAAUGGUAUACAAUGACGGCGGCUGGCUGAUGGAUCACUUCUCAACACUUUCCACUACUUUAACAAUAACGCUGGCUUUCUUAAUCUACUCUUCUCGCUUGCAAAAUUAUCAUCGCUGUUUAUGCUGCUGCUGCAUUUCAAGCCGCACUUCACCUUCUUCUUCCCGCUCCAACUGUUUGACAUAGGGUAUAGAGCUUUCUUCUGGACAGUCCCAGCUCUUUUCAAUCAUUUUCUGCCUUACUUCUACGUGAUAUUUCUUACGAUCCUUCUUUUCGAUCGAGCAAAAAGGGACAAUGAUCGAUGCAGAACCAAGUAUGGCAAGUACUGGAAACUCUAUUGCGACAGGGUACCUUACAGAAUCAUUCCAGGAAUAUAUAUAUUGAAGUGUGAUCAUUGAUGAUGACUUGCUGGAACUUCCCUUUGGAGCCGAGCCAUGUUUACCUUUGUUGUUUAAUUACUUCCUCUGAUUGGUGUACUUUAGAUGUAAUUGUAGACUAUAUAUAGCUGUAACUGUAAGAAACAAUUCACUAAUUAUUGAAUUCUAUUUUGUAAGACAUAUAUAGACUUGGUUCUAGA